RNAcentral lists this long non-coding RNA (862 nucleotides) under Pan troglodytes (chimpanzee). RNAcentral describes it as "long non-coding RNA NONPTRT006669". The record is from RNAcentral. Lineage: Eukaryota; Metazoa; Chordata; Mammalia; Primates; Hominidae.
GGGGAAUGAAGACCUAGUUCAGGGAAUAGGAGGGUGUAUCGCCGCCGGAGUGCGGAACACCCUCGCCUUGAGGGUUCCCACAGUGACUUGCAAAAGUCUAGUGAGACCCGAGAAGGCUGAGGCGGGACACGAAGCAUGUGGUUCUUGUGGUUGCGACGCUCGUGCCGCCAUCUUGGGUGCUGGCGGCGGAAACCGGUACCCCAACUUCCCCUCGGUGCGAACCUGGAGAAGCCACCCCAGCUGUGAGGGACGGUUGCGCCUCAUGGCCCAGGCAAGGGUACCUUCGCUGGAGCAGUACCGCGGACGGAUAUCAUGAGGGUGGCGGGACGUUGGCGGGACGUUGGCGGAACGUUGGCGGAACGUUGGCGGUGUGAGAGGUGUGGGGUAAUGGCGAUUUUUGUCAUGGUAGAAACAGCCCAAAGGAUCCCCCUCGUUUGGCCUCCCACGCAGCUUAGUCUUGCUUUUUUAGGGAUGUUUCUCAGUUUUUAAUUCCUCCAGUCCCAUCUGGUUAUAUUUCCAAAACAUGUUUGUGACUCUCAAACGUUAGUUUACUCCCAGCAUCACUUGGGGAGCUUGCUAAGCUACGAAUUCCGAGGUCCCACUGGAGAGUCUGAUUUAAUGACCCUGGAGUGGCGGCCGGAUAACCUGCCUGCUGGGGUGAUUUUAACGCAGCUGAUGCGAAGACCCCAUUUAGGGAAUCAUUGGGUUGGCGUUUGCAAUGCGUUCCUCCCAGCUAUAGGACAAAGAGGUGUCAACUCAACUCUGUCUUCUUAGAAGAGCCCAUUAUUUAUAGGCUGGACUGGAACUCCUGGACUCAAGCGAUCUUCCCAUUUAUCAGGGACUACUGACGCGUGUCUCCCAA